This 497-nucleotide ribosomal RNA is filed under the name uncultured bacterium. RNAcentral's name for it is "partial 16S ribosomal RNA". It matches the Rfam family "Bacterial small subunit ribosomal RNA", at positions 28 to 507 of the family's 1533-position model. The record is from RNAcentral.
GAUGAACGCUGGCGGCGUGCCUAAUACAUGCAAGUCGAGCGAACAGACGAGGAGCUUGCUCCUUUGACGUUAGCGGCGGACGGGUGAGUAACACGUAGGUAACCUACCUAUAAGACUGGGAUAACUUCGGGAAACCGGAGCUAAUACCGGAUAAUAUUUCGAACCGCAUGGUUCGAUAGUGAAAGAUGGCUUUGCUAUCACUGAUAGAUGGACCUGCGCCGUAUUAGCUAGUUGGUAAGGUAACGGCUUACCAAGGCAACGAUACGUAGCCGACCUGAGAGGGUGAUCGGCCACACUGGAACUGAGGCACGGUCCAGACUCCUACGGGAGGCAGCAGUAGGGAAUCUUCCGCAAUGGGCGAAAGCCUGACGGAGCAACGCCGCGUGAGUGAUGAAGGUCUUCGGAUCGUAAAACUCUGUUAUUAGGGAAGAACAAACGUGUAAGUAACUGUGCACGUCUUGACGGUACCUAAUCAGAAAGCCACGGCUAACUACGUG